This 158-nucleotide transfer RNA is filed under the name Phaeosphaeriaceae sp. SRC1lsM3a. RNAcentral describes it as "Stagonospora sp. SRC1lsM3a tRNA". It matches the Rfam family "tRNA". From Rfam's summary of the family: Transfer RNA (tRNA) molecules are approximately 80 nucleotides in length. Their secondary structure includes four short double-helical elements and three loops (D, anti-codon, and T loops). Further hydrogen bonds mediate the characteristic L-shaped molecular structure. tRNAs have two regions of fundamental functional importance: the anti-codon, which is responsible for specific mRNA codon recognition, and the 3' end, to which the tRNAs corresponding amino acid is attached (by aminoacyl-tRNA synthetases). tRNAs cope with the degeneracy of the genetic code in two manners: having more than one tRNA (with a specific anti-codon) for a particular amino acid; and 'wobble' base-pairing, i.e. permitting non-standard base-pairing at the 3rd anti-codon position. The record is from Rfam by way of RNAcentral. Lineage: Eukaryota; Fungi; Ascomycota; Dothideomycetes; Pleosporales; Phaeosphaeriaceae.
GCCUGGUUAGCUCAAUCGGUAGAGCGUGAGACUCUUAGGUUUCACCUUCUCAAGAAGCGAUUGAUCCAAUCUCAAGGUUGCGGGGUGAGUUCACCUCUUAAAUACCCAGCAUCAAGUUAGUGACUAACCAUGUUACAGUUCGACCCCCGCAUCGGGCU